RNAcentral lists this ribosomal RNA (450 nucleotides) under uncultured bacterium. RNAcentral describes it as "partial 16S ribosomal RNA". It matches the Rfam family "Bacterial small subunit ribosomal RNA", at positions 354 to 796 of the family's 1533-position model. The record is from RNAcentral.
GUGGGGAAUUUUGGACAAUGGGCGAAAGCCUGAUCCAGCCAUGCCGCGUGUGUGAAGAAGGUCUUCGGAUUGUAAAGCACUUUAAGUUGGGAGGAAGGGCAGUAAGUUAAUACCUUGCUGUUUUGACGUUACCGACAGAAUAAGCCCCGGCUAACUUCGUGCCAGCAGCCGCGGUAAUACGAAGGGGGCGAGCGUUAUUCGGAAUCACUGGGCGUAAAGCGUGCGUAGGUGGUUUUGUAAGUUGGAGGUGAAAUCCCCGGGCUCAACCUGGGAACUGCCUCCAAAACUGCAUGACUAGAGUACGGUAGAGGGUAGUGGAAUUUCCUGUGUAGCGGUGAAAUGCGUAGAUAUAGGAAGGAACACCAGUGGCGAAGGCGACUACCUGGACUGAUACUGACACUGAGGUGCGAAAGCGUGGGGAGCAAACAGGAUUAGAUACCCGUGUAGUCC